Molecule: long non-coding RNA, 3362 nt
Organism: Crotalus tigris (Tiger rattlesnake)
Lineage: Eukaryota; Metazoa; Chordata; Lepidosauria; Squamata; Viperidae
Exons: 2
Source: RefSeq, a predicted model, not a curated record
CUUUGGCACCGCGCGGUGUGCCUUGUCUGCAACUCCCUUUUCCCGCAGCCGAUGUGGUUGCUCUGCCUGAAAGCGGUGAAAGCCAUAAAACGAGGCAUCAUCUGGAUGUUUUGAGGAAGACUUACCUUUGCGUGGUGAGGAGAGAGAAGGACGGGAGGCAGUGGCUCUGGUGGUGGCAGCGCAGCCUGGCCGCCGCGUCCUCAGCAGAACAGGCGGGGAGGGGGAGCAGGACGGGAGGCAGUGGCUCCAGUGAUGGCGGCAUGGCCCAGCAGCGGCCACUGCAGCAUCGUCGGGGUUCCCUGCUGCCCCCGGCCUGGCUGCUGCCCCCAUAGCCCAAGGCCUCCUUCUCCUGCAGCACUGAGGGCGGCGGCAGCGGGAGGACAGCGAAGUGGCAUGGCUACUUUGGCCUCACUCAGUGCGACUGGCAGCAGCGGCAGCAGAAGGACAGCCAAGAGGACCGUGCAGCAGGUGGGGAAAGGGCCGACCAGGUGCCGCAGGGGAAUCCGCUGCCCAUAAGACGGCCGAAAGGCACAGGCGGAGAGGGGAAGCUCCGGAAGACCCCCGGUGACCCCAACAGGCGGCGGCGGAGCAGGGCAAAGGGAGACCUGGCGGGCAGGGAAGAGGCACCCCAAGACCAGCCACCUGCGGCUCCUUACCAGGGACACCUUUCCAGCAAUCCUCCCCGCCACCACGUGCAGUACGAAGAAGGAAAGAGGUUGUGGGCAGUCCCACAAACCAAAGAAGUUCAACCAAUCAAUUCAAACUUCAUGAGAAGUUUGAAUUGAUUGGUUGAACUUUUUUAGUCCCACUUUUUUUUUCAGACUGCACAUGGUGGCUGAGGACAGGGAGCCGCAGGAGACGGCUGAAAGAGCGGAGCUGUGUUCUAACCUCUCUGUACAUGCCACACAUUGCAGGAAGAUUUUAAUGACCUUUAGAAAUAAUGACUGCCUUGUAAGCUACCUAAAACCAUUUGGGAGAAGAUAAAAUGGAUAUUUCUUAAAUAAAUGAAUAAAUAAGCAAGCCAAACCAGUGUUUGCAGAUUAAAAUUGAUUAAAGGUUACUUCACAAGUUACUUUUGGACUACCAUUUUGUUGAAUUUAUAGCAUGCAUGUCCUUUACCCAUAUAUGUACAGGGUGAAAGGGGUCUGUCCAGUUCAAACACGACCCAAUAUCUAAAUCAUUUUGAUGGGGGGGAAGAAGCCAAUCUGUUUAUGGACUCUUACCUUGGCAUUUAGCAGGCUCUUUGCCCCAUCUGACUGUAUGUGUGUGUGUUUUCUUUUAAAAGAAAGCCAGACUUUAAAAUGAUUUAUUUCCAAAGAAAUCUCUCUGAGUCCAUUACAUAGUCUCACAGGUAAUCUUAGAAAAUAAAAACGGGUCUGUGACUGUAGGCCAAUGCUUUGUUCUGAAGCAUAUCUACCCAUCUAUAAAAAAACAAAAGACAGCUUGAAUAGUAGGAACAACACAGUGUGGUAGAAGGAAUGAAUUCCCAGUUGCUCUUUGUAAAAUAGAUGUUUUAUGACUGGCUACAUUCUGAUGCAUAUUUUCCUUCCCAUGGUGUCCAUUAUAGGGAAUAAGAAGCCCCAUUCAGGCUGCCCCCACAACGUCCUCUCAUAUAUUUAAUGUUCCAAGUGUUCAAAUAGCUAUUAGUAUGGGUUUUAAUCUUUUAAAUAUAUAUACUGUACAUACAUACAAACAGUUUUAAUCCCUAACAUGCGAAAGGCUGUUUUAUUUUAGAAAAAUCAUCUCCAAUUUGCAAUUUUCAGAAUUUAAAAGGAAUCAUAAGAUUUCUAUACUGGUUGUGCAUAUUGAGAAAACAACCAUUCUGUACAACCUUGUGGCUGCAUUGCAAAUAAUGUUAUUGUCAGAAACUACUUGUGAAGAUAAAGUACUGUAUGCUUAAAAAUGCUUGAAGAUGCAGAUUGACACCUAUGACAUUAGUUGGUGUCUGUUCCUAACUCUGAUGAUGUCAAAACAACAAAAUGUUUCAUGACAUAAUGACACAAAUGUCAAUAUUUUCUACUUGCAUCAUGACAUCCCAAUGUACAAUAUAUAAGGGGAGAGUUUGUACUAGGUGCAUGGUUUAUUUCUUGUUCCCUUGGCAAACAUUUCUUGGUCAUGUGCCUCCUGAAUUCAGAAACUUCAAAUGCAGUGAUUUUAAAAAGUAAUGCAUGCUUACAAGUUCAACAAAAGAGCAUACAGAAUAAUAAAUAAAACCUGAUCUGCAAAGUAUUCAUGUAUCUAUUUAUACAGUAUUUCUUUGACACUGACACAAAACUGCUAUUUCUAUGUCAGACCACUAUUGUUAAUUCAAGUCAUAAUGAGGAACCUGCAAACAGACUCAUAGCUAUUGAAUCAAAUCUAAUUAUCUAGGAAAAAGUCAACUCUUCGUUUCUGUUCUUUUUACUUAGCAGUUUUUUAUACUGAGGUUUUUGUACUUAGUACAACUUUAAAAAGUAUGGACUUCAACUUCCAGAAUUCUGGGAGUUGAAGUUCACACUUUUUAAGGUUACCCAAGUAUCGUGGAAACAGAAGUCCCAUUGUUUCUCUCUGUUCUUCCAAGUGAGUGAGAACAAUUUCUAGGCCUUGCUGAAGAAUCACUUAGUAAAUCUAGAUAUUUUCCCCUCAACCGAAGAACAUUUUUCUUUCCGCUUACAAAUUCCUUUCGUAAUGCCUAGUUUAAUUCUAAAAGUGCCAGUUCAAACCCUGAUAAAAGAUGCUACACAAUAGUUUACUGGAAUUUGUUAGGGAAAACUGUCUAGGGAACUUAACUGAAUAUUACUGUAAUAGAAUACUUUUGUUCUAAACAAACACUAGCUGGAAGUGCAUAGAAGUUACCCCACAAUAAUUCAAAUAUAUUAGUGUCUCUCUGCUUGGUUAAAUUGAUAAGCAUGAGGACAUUCAAAUAUUAGAGAAUAUGAACCACUCCAAGAAAGUGAUCUCAUUAGAAUAGAAAAGGCACUGAAGUAGUUUCCAGCUGUUUACAAAUAAUCUACCAAAAAAGGUAGAAAGUGGUUAUGAUCUAACACAUUCCUUACAUUGUUUUAUAUUAAAUAUAAGCUCCUGAAUUAAUAUAAUGCAUUGACAUACAUUAAGUGAUUCAUGUGAACAAAAGGCAUAGCUGUCAACUAAGUGCUAUAUUUACUUAGAUUUGUGAGCAACUUUCAUCUGGUAUGAGAGAGAACACAUGUUGAGAUAUAAAUAUCUAGUUUGGGACAUAAUUAUGAAUUCCAUGUCACAGUCCAAUUUACAAAGGUAGAGAAAGAACACACCAUAUCAAUACACAGUUGUAACUGUUGUGGAAUCUUCAAAUACACCUGUAAGAAUACUAAAAUCUGAAUCAUAACUGUGAAGGUAAAUAGAAA